GGAUUUCCGAGCAGUGCAGAGCGUCAGGCUUUUAACCUGAAUGUCGCGGGUUCGAGCCCCGCGCGGAGCU
Anaeramoeba flamelloides is the source of this 70-nucleotide non-coding RNA. Lineage: Eukaryota; Anaeramoebidae. The record is from the annotation of a GenBank genome assembly.